This 214-nucleotide unclassified non-coding RNA is filed under the name Ascomycota sp. RNAcentral describes it as "partial contains small subunit ribosomal RNA, internal transcribed spacer 1, and 5.8S ribosomal RNA". The stretch from base 1 to 47 matches the Rfam family "Eukaryotic small subunit ribosomal RNA", at positions 1785 to 1831 of the family's 1831-position model. The record is from RNAcentral. Lineage: Eukaryota; Fungi; Ascomycota.
AAAGUCGUAACAAGGUUUCCGUAGGUGAACCUGCGGAAGGAUCAUUAAUGAGAGGGUCUCUUCGGAGCCGCCCAUAUCAUAAACACUUGCUUACCCAUCCCUUUGCUUUCCGCACCAGAAAUGGUGCGGAACAUUAUACUAAACUCUGUUUAACUGUAACGUCUGAAUAAACUUUAAUAAGUUAAAACUUUCAACAACGGAUCUCUUGGUUCUC